UACGGAGGGUGCGAGCGUUAUCCGGAAUCACUGGGUUUAAAGGGUGCGUAGGCGGCUCGGUAAGUCAGUUGCGAAAGCCCCUUGCUUAAAGAGGGAGGCGCGAUUGAUACUGUCGAGCUUGAAUCGGGAUGAGGCAGGCGGAAUGUGGCAUGUAGCGGUGAAAUGCAUAGAUAUGCCAUAGAACACCGAUUGCGAAGGCAGCCUGGUGGGCCUGUAUUGACGCUGAGGCACGAAAGCGUGGGGAGCAAACAGG
Molecule: ribosomal RNA, 253 nt
Filed under: uncultured bacterium
Lineage: Bacteria
Description: partial 16S ribosomal RNA
Rfam family: Bacterial small subunit ribosomal RNA
Source: RNAcentral